AAAGGAAACUGUAGCCACAAACCUGCCUGAGAGAGCACAGUCCUGUUGUAUUUCAGGCUGCAUUAGACAAAAUGAUCAUUAGAGGAAUGGGUCCAUAAAUGUUGCAUUGUCUACAAUGGCAGUAAGGAGCUAUUUUAUGUACCCUGUGUGGAUACUUCUGUGUUUUCCUUCAGCCGUGAGAACAGAGAAUUGCUCUGAAUUGCAGAAAGAGGCCAUCAUUGGUCAUCAGAUCCAUCAGGAACUGUCAACCAUCAAUUGUCAUUACAACAGGAAUGAAAGUCAACAGCUUGUAGUAUCUCUGGAAACAAAACACAUAUUGUGUAAAUACAAGUAUGAUAAACUAUCCUGGAGUAAACAAAUCUGCAAUGACAACAUAAAAUUUCAAUGGACACCACAAACAGGAGAAAUAUCAUUUCAGCUUUUAAAUCUUCAGUUUAAUAAUUCAGCCAUAUACAAAUGUACUGUGGAAAACUAUUUACCACCUCCUACAAGGUGUUUGGCACAGAAGAGCAUAUUCAUUGAUGUCCAAGAAAAGAAUUGGUUUCCUCCUGAGUCUGGUUCCACUCAAAGAUUCUUCAGGGAGAUUUUAUGCGGACGGGGGAGGUGGUAGCUUAGCGGCUAAGUCAUUGAACUUUGGCUCCAUGGGUUGUGGGUUUGAGUCCCGGACAAAUACAAAGCUGCUACUCUUGGGACUCUGAGCAAGGCCCAAUAACACCCCACCAGGUGCUCAGUUGUGAUAAAGUAUUUAAAGUACUCUCCAAUGGACAGUGUCAAGCCCAGCUGUGAAAGGAGGAGAGUUGGGCAUUGGGCUAGCAACCUGACCCUGUAAAAAAACUGCUUCAGAAACAGCAACAUCUCCAUCUGUAUCUGUGUCAUGUGAGAAGGGGCCUGGUGGAUCUCUUACCAUGCUUUGCACUUCUAAAGGCUUUUACCCAUAUGAGCUGAAGCAGGCCUGGCUCAGAAGUGAAAAACCUAACAGUUACCAAAACUCCUCUGUUGUCCUGAACUCCUCUGAUAUCAGAUGGAAACAAAUACAUAACACAGAUGGGACUUGGAGCAUUACAUCAUCCCUUCCCCUGUCUUCAGGCUUAGGAGUGUACUACUGCUGGGUGAAUCAUUCAGCCCUGAGUCAGCCAAUAAUUGUAAACAUUACUUCUACUGAGUGCACUGAGAUAAAAGAGAGAUUAACAGUGUUGGUUACAUUAGUCUCAGGAAUCAGUUGUGGUGUGAUCGCUGGUAUUGGGCUGAUCCUUGCCGGAUGUUAUAAAUGUUCCAGAAAAAGAAAUUCUUCAAGGUCUGAAGUAGAAGCAGCUCCAUUGCCUGAGCCUGUGUCUCAUCGUACACUGGGAUCACUGGGAAAUCAUCAGCCUGUUCCAGAGGUCUACUCAACACUGGCAGACUAUCAGCCUGUUCCAGAGGUCUAUUCAACACUGGGAGACUAUCAGCCUGUUCCAGAGGUCUAUUCAACACUGGGAGACUAUCAGCCUGUUCCAGAGGUCUACUCAACACUUGGGAGCCAUCAGCCUGUUCCAUGCAGAAACAAUAGCAAUGGCAGCCCAUCUCUCUCUCUAUGACACUCAUUAACAACCGAACACUUUAAAAAAAUGUGAAUUAUGCACCCACUGAAUUAUGUGUUAAUUUUGUUUAAUUAAUUUUGCAUUUCAGACACCAUUAUAAAAAAUGUCUUGUGAAACUGCAUUUGGGCUGCUAGGAAUCUAACUUGUUAAUUGUUACUACUAUUCUUAUUAUAAGUAUUAUUUCCAUUUUUGUUGUUGUUUAUUGUUAAUAUUACUAUUGCCUUUUAUUCUUAUUAUGUUAUUUUUUGUCUAACUUAAUUAUCUCUUUUUCUCUUCCUUUUCCUCUUUAAUGUUUUUUCUUUCUGUGCACAACAAGCAUCAUGCAUAAAACCCAGGGGUGUUACUCACACCCAGAAGCAGCUGAUUAUAAAAGCAUAUAACAGUACUUGUUGUAUUUCUAAUGUUUUUAUAGUUUUUUUGUGUGUUUUAAAAUCACAACACAAUGGUAGGUCAAUAACAGUGUAUAGUGUGGUGAUUGAAGCAAUCAUAGUAUAAUUUAAUUCCAUUUAUUUGUAUAGUGCUUUUAACAAUAGACAUUGUCACCAGAAAGAUUUCCAGAGAUAAAGCGAUUAUAAAUAAUGUAUACGUUUGUUCUUUAUAAUUGAAUGUUUGUCUCUAAUGAGUAAGCCAUUGGCGACUGUGGCAAGGAAAAACUCCCUGAGAUGGCAUGAGGAAGAAACCUUAAAAAGAUAUAAAUUCAAAAGGGAACCCAUCCUCAUCUGGGUGGCACUAAAUGUCUAAAUGUCCGUUGUUGUAUUUCUUUUGUCACUCUUACGGUAUAGUUUAGUUUAUUAUGAGUCUGGCUGAUGUAUAAAAACAGCUGAUGUCUUAUAAAUAAAAAGUUAAUAAACAAAUGAAUGAGAAUCACUGACUCACAUGACUUUAAAAUCAGGGCCAUGCUCAUUCGUCUAUUUUUCCUAACUAAACACUAAAAUAGUCUCACUGCAGUUACUUUCCUUGGGAAAUGUCAAU
Molecule: RNA transcript, 2549 nt
Organism: Silurus meridionalis
Lineage: Eukaryota; Metazoa; Chordata; Actinopteri; Siluriformes; Siluridae
Exons: 7
Source: RefSeq, a predicted model, not a curated record